GUUAGGAAUAUUGGACAAUGGGCGCAAGCCUGAUCCAGCCAUGCCGCGUGAGUGAUGAAGGCCUUCGGGUUGUAAAGCUCUUUAGCCGAUGAUUAUGAUGACUGUAGUCGGAAAAUAAGCCCCGGCUAACUUCGUGCCAGCAGCCGCGGUAAUACGAAGGGGGCGAGCGUUAUUCGGAAUCACUGGGCGUAAAGCGUGCGUAGGCGGCUUUGCAAGUUGGGAGUGAAAGCCCAGGGCUCAACCCUGGAAUUGCUCUCAAAACUGCAAGGCUCGAAUUCGGGAGAGGAUAGCGGAAUUGGCAGUGUAGCAGUGAAAUGCGUAGAUAUUGACAGGAACACCAGUGGCGUAAGCGGCUAUCUGGACCGAUAUUGACGCUGAGGCACGAAAGCGUGGGGAUCAAACAGGAUUAGAAACCCGAGUAGUCC
RNAcentral lists this ribosomal RNA (425 nucleotides) under uncultured bacterium. RNAcentral describes it as "bacterial SSU rRNA". It matches the Rfam family "Bacterial small subunit ribosomal RNA", at positions 354 to 796 of the family's 1533-position model. The record is from RNAcentral.